Molecule: ribosomal RNA, 465 nt
Filed under: Vreelandella stevensii
Lineage: Bacteria; Pseudomonadati; Pseudomonadota; Gammaproteobacteria; Oceanospirillales; Halomonadaceae
Description: partial 16S ribosomal RNA
Rfam family: Bacterial small subunit ribosomal RNA
Source: RNAcentral
CCUACGGGGGGCUGCAGUGGGGAAUAUUGGACAAUGGGGGCAACCCUGAUCCAGCCAUGCCGCGUGUGUGAAGAAGGCCCUCGGGUUGUAAAGCACUUUCAGUGAGGAAGAACGCCUGGUGGUUAAUACCCAUCAGGAAAGACAUCACUCACAGAAGAAGCACCGGCUAACUCCGUGCCAGCAGCCGCGGUAAUACGGAGGGUGCGAGCGUUAAUCGGAAUUACUGGGCGUAAAGCGCGCGUAGGUGGCUUGAUGAGCCGGUUGUGAAAGCCCCGGGCUCAACCUGGGAACGGCAUCCGGAACUGUCAAGCUAGAGUGCAGGAGAGGAAGGUAGAAUUCCCGGUGUAGCGGUGAAAUGCGUAGAGAUCGGGAGGAAUACCAGUGGCGAAGGCGGCCUUCUGGACUGACACUGACACUGAGGUGCGAAAGCGUGGGUAGCAAACAGGAUUAGAUACCCGGGUAGUC